CCAAUAGCGUAUAUUAAAGUUGUUGCAGUUAAAAAGCUCGUAGUUGAAUUUCGGGAUCAGUACGCUGGUCAUGCCUUUGGUAUGCACUGGUGUCACUGGUUUCUCCCUUCUGAAGAACCGUGAUGUCAUUAAUUUGGUGUCGCGGGGAAUCAGGACUGUUACUUUGAAAAAAUUAGAGUGUUUAAAGCAGGCUCACGCUUGAAUACAUUAGCAUGGAAUAAUGAAGUAGGACGUUUGACCCUAUUUUGUUGGUUUCUAGGAUCGACGUAAUGAUUAAUAGGGAUAGUUGGGGGCAUCAGUAUUCAAUUGUCAGAGGUGAAAUUCUUGGAUUUAUUGAAGACUAACUACUGCGAAAGCAUUUGCCAAGGAUGUUUUCAUUAAUCAAGAACGAAAGUUAGGGGAUCGAAGACGAUCAGAUACCGUCGUAGUCUUAACCAUAAACUAUGCCGAUUAGGGAUCGGAUGAUGUUAAUUUUAUAAUGACUCAUUCGGCGCCUUACG
Molecule: ribosomal RNA, 500 nt
Filed under: uncultured Glomeromycotina
Lineage: Eukaryota; Fungi; Glomeromycota
Description: partial small subunit ribosomal RNA
Rfam family: Eukaryotic small subunit ribosomal RNA
Source: RNAcentral